RNAcentral lists this ribosomal RNA (484 nucleotides) under uncultured bacterium. RNAcentral describes it as "partial 16S ribosomal RNA". It matches the Rfam family "Bacterial small subunit ribosomal RNA", at positions 30 to 507 of the family's 1533-position model. The record is from RNAcentral.
AUUGAACGCUGGCGGCAGGCCUAACACAUGCAAGUCGAGCGGAUGAAGGGAGCUUGCUCCUGGAUUCAGCGGCGGACGGGUGAGUAAUGCCUAGGAAUCUGCCUGGUAUUGGGGGAUAACGUCCGGAAACGGGCGCUAAUACCGCAUACGUCCUGAGGUAGAAAGUGGGGGAUCUUCGGACCUCACGCUAUCAUAUGAGCCUAGGUCGGAUUAUCUAGUUGGUGGGGUAAAGGCCUACCAAGGCGACGAUCCGUAACUGGUCUGAGAGGAUGAUCAGUCACACUGGAACUGAGACACGGUCCAGACUCCUACGGGAGGCAGCAGUGGGGAAUAUUGGACAAUGGGCGAAAGCCUGAUCCAGCCAUGCCGCGUGUGUGAAGAAGGUCUUCGGAUUGUAAAGCACUUUAAGUUGGGAGGAAGGGCAGUAAGUUAAUACCUUGCUGUUUUGACGUUACCAACAGAAUAAGCACCGGCUAACUUCGUG